Molecule: ribosomal RNA, 650 nt
Filed under: uncultured bacterium
Lineage: Bacteria
Description: bacterial SSU rRNA
Rfam family: Bacterial small subunit ribosomal RNA
Source: RNAcentral
CGCGUGUAGCAAUACACGAGUGGCGCACGGGUGAGUAACGCGUGGAUAUCUGCCUUUUGGUUCGGAAUAACUCCGGGAAACUGGAGCUAAUACCGGAUGGUUCCUACGGGAUAAAGAUUUAUCGCCAAAAGAUGAGUCCGCGUACGAUUAGCUAGUUGGUGAGGUAAUGGCUCACCAAGGCGACGAUCGUUAGCUGGUCUGAGAGGACGAUCAGCCACACUGGGACUGAGACACGGCCCAGACUCCUACGGGAGGCAGCAGUGGGGAAUAUUGGACAAUGGGGGCAACCCUGAUCCAGCCAUGCCGCGUGAGUGAUGAAGGCCUUCGGGUUGUAAAGCUCUUUUGGCGGGGACGAUGAUGACGGUACCCGCAGAAUAAGCCCCGGCUAACUUCGUGCCAGCAGCCGCGGUAAGACGAAGGGUUUUUCGCUUUUUUUCGGAAUUACUGCGCCCCCCCCCCAGUGUAGGUGGUUGUCAUAGUCAGAUGUGAAAGCCUUGAGCUCAACUCAAGAAAUGCACUUGAUACUGGGCGACUAGAGGACCGGAGAGGAUAGUGGAAUUCCCAGUGUAGUGGUGAAAUACGUAGAGAUUGGGAAGAACACCAGUGGCGAAGGCGGCUAUCUGGACGGUUUCUGACACUAAGACUCGAAA